This 497-nucleotide ribosomal RNA is filed under the name uncultured bacterium. RNAcentral's name for it is "partial 16S ribosomal RNA". It matches the Rfam family "Bacterial small subunit ribosomal RNA", at positions 28 to 507 of the family's 1533-position model. The record is from RNAcentral.
GAUGAACGCUGGCGGCGUGCCUAAUACAUGCAAGUCGAGCGAACAGACGAGGAGCUUGCUCCUCUGACGUUAGCGGCGGACGGGUGAGUAACACGUGGAUAGCCUACCUAUAAGACUGGGAUAACUUCGGGAAACCGGAGCUAAUACCGGAUAAUAUAUUGAACCGCAUGGUUCAAUAGUGAAAGACGGUUUUGCUGUCACUUAUAGAUGGAUCCGCGCCGCAUUAGCUAGUUGGUAAGGUAACGGCUUACCAAGGCGACGAUGCGUAGCCGACCUGAGAGGGUGAUCGGCCACACUGGAACUGAGACACGGUCCAGACUCCUACGGGAGGCAGCAGUAGGGAAUCUUCCGCAAUGGGCGAAAGCCUGACGGAGCAACGCCGCGUGAGUGAUGAAGGUCUUCGGAUCGUAAAACUCUGCUAUUAGGGAAGAACAAAUGUGUAAGUAACUAUGCACGUCUUGACGGUACCUAAUCAGAAAGCCACGGCUAACUACGUG